RNAcentral lists this ribosomal RNA (468 nucleotides) under uncultured bacterium. RNAcentral describes it as "partial 16S ribosomal RNA". It matches the Rfam family "Bacterial small subunit ribosomal RNA", at positions 28 to 507 of the family's 1533-position model. The record is from RNAcentral.
GACGAACGCUGGCGGCGUGCUUAACACAUGCAAGUCGAACGGAAAGGCCCUGCUUUUGUGGGGUGCUCGAGUGGCGAACGGGUGAGUAACACGUGAGUAACCUGCCCUUGACUUUGGGAUAACUUCAGGAAACUGGGGCUAAUACCGGAUAGGAGCUCCUGCUGCAUGGUGGGGGUUGGAAAGUUUCGGCGGUUGGGGAUGGACUCGCGGCUUAUCAGCUUGUUGGUGGGGUAGUGGCUUACCAAGGCUUUGACGGGUAGCCGGCCUGAGAGGGUGACCGGCCACAUUGGGACUGAGAGACGGCCCAGACGCCUACGGGAGGCAGCAGUGGGGAAUAUUGCACAAUGGGCGGAAGCCUGAUGCAGCAACGCCGCGUGCGGGAUGACGGCCUUCGGGUUGUAAACCGCUUUCGACUGUGACGAAGCGUGAGUGACGGUAAUGGGUAAAGAAGCACCGGCUAACUACGUG